CAGGGGGGGCAUUGCCCUAGUAACGGCGAGUGAGGCGGCAACAGCUCAAAUUUGAAAUCUGGCUCUUUCAGAGUCCGAGUUGUAAUUUGCAGAGGGCGCUUUGGCUUUGGCAGCGGUCCAAGUUCCUUGGAACAGGACGUCACAGAGGGUGAGAAUCCCGUACGUGGUCGCUAGCUAUUGCCGUGUAAAGCCCCUUCGACGAGUCGAGUUGUUUGGGAAUGCAGCUCUAAAUGGGAGGUAAAUUUCUUCUAAAGCUAAAUAUUGGCCAGAGACCGAUAGCGCACAAGUAGAGUGAUCGAAAGAUGAAAAGCACUUUGGAAAGAGAGUCAAACAGCACGUGAAAUUGUUGAAAGGGAAGCGCUUGCAGCCAGACUUGCUUGCAGUUGCUCAUCCGGGCUUUUGCCCGGUGCACUCUUCUGCAGGCAGGCCAGCAUCAGUUUGGGCGGUGGGAUAAAGGUCUCUGUCAUGUACCUCUCUUCGGGGAGGCCUUAUAGGGGAGGCGACAUACCACCAGCCUAGACUGAGGUCCGCGCAUCUGCUAGGAUGCUGGCGUAAUGGCUGUAAGCGGCCCGUCUUGAAACACGGACCAAGGAGUCUAACAUCUAUGCGAGUGUUUGGGUGUCAAGCCCGAGCGCGUAAUGAAAGUGAACGGAGGUGGGAACCCGCAAGGGUGCACCAUCGACCGAUCCUGAAGUUUACGGAAGGAUUUGAGUAAGAGCAUGGCUGUUGGGACCCGAAAGAUGGUGAACUAUGCUUGAAUAGGGUGAAGCCAGAGGAGACUCUGGUGGAGGCUCGCAGCGGUUCUGACGUGCAAAUCGAUCGUCAGAUUUGGGCAUAGGGGCGAAAGACUAAUCGAACUAUCUAGUAGCUGGUUCCUGCCGAAGUUUCCCUCAGGAUAGCAGUAACGUAUUCAGUUUUAUGAGGUAAAGCGAAUGAUUAGAGGCAUGGGGGUUGA
This 955-nucleotide ribosomal RNA is filed under the name Exserohilum rostratum. RNAcentral describes it as "partial large subunit ribosomal RNA". It matches the Rfam family "Eukaryotic large subunit ribosomal RNA", at positions 66 to 1039 of the family's 3401-position model. The record is from RNAcentral. Lineage: Eukaryota; Fungi; Ascomycota; Dothideomycetes; Pleosporales; Pleosporaceae.